Molecule: ribosomal RNA, 497 nt
Filed under: uncultured bacterium
Lineage: Bacteria
Description: partial 16S ribosomal RNA
Rfam family: Bacterial small subunit ribosomal RNA
Source: RNAcentral
GAUGAACGCUGGCGGCGUGCCUAAUACAUGCAAGUCGAGCGAACGGACGAGAAGCUUGCGGCUCUGAUGUUAGCGGCGGACGGGUGAGUAACACGUGUAAAACCCACCUAUAAGACUGGGAUAACUUCGGGAAACCGGAGCUAAUACCGGAUAAUAUUUUGAACCGCAUGGUUCAAAAGUGAAAGACGGCGUUUCUGUCACUUAUAGAUGGAUCCGCGCUGCAUUAGCUAGUUGGUAAGGUAACGGCUUACCAAGGCAACGAUGCAUAGCCGACCUGAGAGAGUGCUCGCCCACACUGGAACGGAGACUCGGUCAUCACUCCUGCGCGAGGCAGCAGUAGGGAACCGUCCGCAAUAGGCGAAAGCCUGACGGAGCAACCGCGCGUGAGAGGUGAAAGUCUUCCGUGCGUAAAACCCUGUUAUGAGGGAAGAACAUAUGUCUAAGUAAAUGUACAGUUCUUGACGGUACCGAGUCAGAAAGCCCCGGCUAACUACGUG